AAAGAUCAGGAUUUUCUUAACUUGAUGGAAAAACUCAAUGAGAACAUGAAGAUUUUGAGCAGUCCCUGGACACAGUUUUGCAGUUUUUUCCCUGUUUUAAUUGAUUAUUGUCCGGGAAGUCAUACGACAUUAGCUAAAAAUAUAUAUUAUAUUAGAAACUACCUUCUGAAGAAAAUAAAAGAACAUCAAGAAUCACUGGAUGUUACAAAUCCUCGGGACUUUAUUGAUUAUUACCUAAUUAAGUGGAAGCAGUCACAAUCCACAUUCGGAAUUUACACUUGAAAACUUAUCAAUCACUGUGACUGAUUUGUUUGCUGCUGGGACAGAGACAACAAGCACAACACUGAGAU
This 350-nucleotide long non-coding RNA is filed under the name Rattus norvegicus (Norway rat). RNAcentral's name for it is "long non-coding RNA NONRATT000926". The record is from RNAcentral. Lineage: Eukaryota; Metazoa; Chordata; Mammalia; Rodentia; Muridae.